CCUACGGGUGGCAGCAGUCGAGAAUCAUUCACAAUGGGGGAAACCCUGAUGGUGCGACGCCGCGUGGGGGAAUGAAGGUCUUCGGAUCGUAAAGUUCUGUUGAAGGGGAAAAAGAGCGGAGAGAGGAAAUGGUCUCCGAUUGAUAUUACCCUUCGAGGAAGUCACGGCUAAAUACGUGCCAGCAGGCGCGGUAAUACGUAGGUGGCGAGCGUUAUCCGGAAUGAUUGGGCGUAAAGGGUGCGUAGGCGGCCUGCUAAGUCUGGAGUGAAAGGGACCGGCUAAACCGGUACAGGCGCGGGAAACUGGCGGGCUAGAGAGCAGGAGAGGGCGGGGGAACUGCAGGGGUAGCGGGAAAAGGUGAGGUAAUAUGGAAGAACACCAGUGGGGAGGGCGGACGCCUGGCCUGUUACGGACGCGGAGGCAGGAAGGCGGGGGGAGGAAAUGGAAUU
This 449-nucleotide ribosomal RNA is filed under the name uncultured bacterium. RNAcentral describes it as "partial 16S ribosomal RNA". It matches the Rfam family "Bacterial small subunit ribosomal RNA", at positions 338 to 779 of the family's 1533-position model. The record is from RNAcentral.